UAACCGCACAACAAGGCACUACUGGUCUUGUUCCUUUCCAGUGUGCCUGCCGCCUGGCCAGCUCUGCUAACCUCGGGACAUGGAUGAAAAAGAGCUGGAUUUGCCAACAGCCCUUGCGGACCACAGCGCCCUCUGUAGCUCAAGUCCGGUAGGGCAGAAUGACCCCAUCUCUGUCUCCUGCCACAAGAGUGAAUGAAGAACUUACCCACGAACUUGGCCACAAAAUCGAAUUCAACCAAGGCCUUUCUUGUGCUCGCCAUGUUAGCUGUGGAAACACCAUCAUCUGCAUGGCGUCAGCCCAUAAAGGGCAAUGCGGACGAGGACUUCCCCUUAUAGGACACAUUUUAACGUGAGAACCUGCAGUUUUCAUCCCUUCCUGUGACUGGUCCCUCACUCCUCUUGCCCUCCUGAAAAUGCUUCUCACCUUUGCGGACAGUAUGGAACUUGACAAUGUCAUUUUUUAAUCAGAUUUCUGGCUGCUCACACACAUGCUUGUCCUUAUUCAAAGACAUGAGGACCAAAGGUGGUGUUGUCAUGACCCAGGAAUUUCACGAGUAGGAGACUUGGUUGUGUCUGUGCCCACAUGGCCCAGCUGUGAGACCAAGCAGUCGGCAGACUCUAAAUACAAUCAUCUUUCCUGAAGCUGAGCAGCUGAAGUCCCAGUGCCCACGAAGGAGUAUGAUUGGCAUGUGUCAGACAAGGCACUUUGUUGAGAAACUGAAAAAAAGGCCUUGAAUAUGGGAACACUGUUACCUCUGGUAGAAGAAACAACAUCCUCAAGGUUGUUGGAGGAAUUCUUGCAUUGGCACCUGCCCAUCUCCUACUCUCUGGAU
This is a non-coding RNA of Myodes glareolus (Bank vole), 833 nucleotides long. The record is from RefSeq and is a predicted model, not a curated record. NCBI's taxonomy places the organism in Eukaryota, Metazoa, Chordata, Mammalia, Rodentia, Cricetidae.